Gigantopelta aegis is the source of this 223-nucleotide long non-coding RNA. RefSeq lists it as uncharacterized. Lineage: Eukaryota; Metazoa; Mollusca; Gastropoda; Neomphalida; Peltospiridae. The transcript is spliced from 2 exons. The record is from RefSeq and is a predicted model, not a curated record.
AAAAUUCUGUGAUUGAAAAAUUGUACCUUUUACGAGAUAUGGAUUUCAAGUGAAAUUACGAAAAUUUUAUUCCGGGCUGGAUACACUGGAUAAGAAUAUUGGAUAUUGGGAUCCCAGGUACCGGACAUCCUCUUCUACGACUUCUUUAUUUCCUGAGACAGUGACUUCGUAGUGAACUUUGUAUUGCUCCAUGUAAACGUCAGAUAUUAAAAGUCUAGCCGCG